GUAGGGUGCGAGCGUUAAUCGGAAUUACUGGGCGUAAAGCGUGCGCAGGCGGUUUGGUAAGUCAGAUGUGAAAUCCCCGGGCUCAACCUGGGAACUGCAUUUGAGACUGCCAAGCUGGAGUUUGGCAGAGGGGGGUGGAAUUCCACGUGUAGCAGUGAAAUGCGUAGAGAUGUGGAGGAACACCGAUGGCGAAGGCAGCCCCCUGGGCCAAUACUGACGCUCAUGCACGAAAGCGUGGGGAGCAAAC
RNAcentral lists this ribosomal RNA (247 nucleotides) under Accumulibacter sp. RNAcentral's name for it is "Candidatus Accumulibacter sp. partial 16S ribosomal RNA". It matches the Rfam family "Bacterial small subunit ribosomal RNA", at positions 527 to 773 of the family's 1533-position model. Lineage: Bacteria; Pseudomonadati; Pseudomonadota; Betaproteobacteria. The record is from RNAcentral.